This 4746-nucleotide long non-coding RNA is filed under the name Homo sapiens (human). RNAcentral describes it as "HSALNT0068400". The record is from RNAcentral. Lineage: Eukaryota; Metazoa; Chordata; Mammalia; Primates; Hominidae.
GGAAAAAGGUUCCGGCCUCAGCCGGCGCACCUGGCGGAGGAGGAACCUCGCGACGCGCUCUCGGGCAUCGGUUUCUCCCAGCAAAGCUUGGAGGGUUUAGCUGCGCGGAGAGCUCAGCGAGCUCUUCUGUGUCUGUUUGGGGCGUGUGGGCUCCGGGAGCGUGAGGACCGGGAAGCUAGGAGGCUCCUUCCCUUCUGGCGGCUCCCUCACUGAGACCGGGCGGUUUGGUUGCGGGGGAAGUGGAGACGAGCCACCCUUGACCUUUGACUGCAAGAACUCACCUUGAGCAGGAUAGAGGCACGUGGACGGUGACCCUCGGGAUGCAAUAAAUGCUGAGACAGAUCAGCAAACAUUGAGUGGGCCAGACACUGUUCUGAAAAAUACGCAGUCGACUUUUGAACAGCACAGGCUUGAACUGCAUGCGGCCACUAAUACUCGGACUUCCUUCUGCCUCUGCCAUCCCUAAGACAGCAAGACCCACCCCUCCUGCUCCUCAGCCUACUCGAUGUGAUGAUGAUGCAGAGAUUCAGAGAGUCUAAGCAACUUUUCUAAAUCAUCUAGCUGGAAUUCAGUAACUGAGCCAGGAUCUACCCCAGGUCUGUCUGACUCCAAAGCCUGUGUCUUCCAGCACACACUGCUGCUGCCUGGGGAAUGUGGAUAUGAUGUCUGGAGCUCUAGCAACCAUAUCAGACCACAAGGAUGAAUGUACACCCCAGGAAUGGAAGAGAGGAAAGCCAGAAAAAGACUCGGUCCCUGAUGGCUGAAGAGCUACCAUACCUGCCCCUAGAUCUUCUAUUUCUGAUCAUCUUCUAUGCAAGGCCUGGAAUGUAAUCAUGGAUAGCCAUGGAUGAUCAGCUUUCAUCAUGUGGGCAUGGAACAAGAUGGAAGGAAGCUGGGGCCCUGAGUGACCUGUGGAGCAGAGGCCUUUGCCCACCCUGGGCUGCCUGAUUUCCCCUGGACUAUCAUGAGACAGAAGAAAAAGCUUCUAUCUUAUUUGAACCACUGUGUUUUGGGAACCUUGGACUAGAGCAGCCUAGCCUUCAUACACUAACAAGGUGUAUGUGUCUGCUCUUUGUUGCUUUUGUAGAUGGUUGUGUUAUAAGCCUGAAUGCAGAAGUUGUUCCCCAGACUACUGGAUUUGCUGCCUUUUAAAACAGGUUUAUUGAACUAUAAUUGACAUACAAUGAACUGCAUAUAGGUAAAGUGUACAAUUUGAUAAGUACACUUUUUGAGCAAAUCCACCCUUUGUUCUGGAAGAAGACACUCUAUAGUCUCAGGCUGUUUCUUUACCAACAUCAACAAGCUAGUCUUAAACAGAGGAACCUCAGUGCCUCACUUUCAAGACAAUCAAGAUUAUUUCCCAACAUUCCACUAGUAGAGGGUCAGAAACAGAGUUAAAAGUUCUCAGACUAGAGGUAGAAUUGAAACCCCAGCUGAGAAGUAUCAAGGUGCCCUCCUUCCCCAAAGCUACAUAUUCUUGUGUCAGGAUCUUACCAGGAAAUGGAAGGCACAUUUACACAGGGCAGCCCAAGAGACUGUUUCAAAGGAAACCAGCAAGAUGUGACAAAGCACCCCAAGACUAGCGACACUGGGAGACCUUCUCACUUGACUUAAAAGGCUGGGGCAGGAGAGUUACAGGACCCAGUAUUAGCUGUAGCCAAAGCCUGGGCAGGGCCACCUAACAUGAGCUGCACCCUUCUGUAGAGCAGCACAGACCUUGUGCAUCUGAGGCCCAGCAGGAUGGGGCCUUGCUCAUCCUUCCCUUGCAGUUCUUGCUAAUGCUUCCUGUUGCCUGAACCCAGCUGGAAGCCAGAGGGCAAGGGAAAUCAAUUGAGACAGAUAAUGGAGGUAAUCCCCUGGGCACAGGGCAGCAUGGCAGAGGUAAGGAGUCUGUCUAGAGCCACAAAGGAAGAGGACUGAGUCCAGAGGUGAAAGCAGUCACGUAUCCCCAAAGACACCUGCUACACAUUUGGGCUUUGAUUUAUCAAUGAGAAGGCUUGAGGGACAGUGGGAAAAAUGAUGAGGAGUCAUUAGGUCCUUGUGGAAAUGGUGCCCUUGAAGGAUGAGCCUGUAAUCACUAGGUACACGUGGGUGGAUGAAUGCUGGUGAAACAGGUGGAGGGAAUGAAAGGACAGAGGCAGCACGAGAACACUGUAAGCAGAGCAGAAGUCCAUGCAAAAGCCAGAGAUGUGAGACAGCACGGGUACAUAUAGGGACCCGCAGGUGGUCUGGAGUGGCUUUGCUGUGGGUUGUGAUGAGAUAUCCACUGUGUUGGAGCUCUGGAACAAAAAGGAGGUCAUCUAAGCUGGUUGCUUCUGUUUUUUUCUUUUCUUUUUUUUCCGGAUGCAUUUCAAUUAGGUGAGGGGUACCAGGCAGAAACCCCUCCUGAAUAUAAACCCUCUGUCUUAUUGUACCAGUUAAAGAUGAACGAUGGCUCACUUCCUAUUGGGUACUAAGUUCAUUAUUUGGGUGACAGGAUCAAUAGAAGCCCAAACCUCAGCAUCAUGCAAUAUACCCAUGUGACAAACCUGUAUCCCCUAAAUCUAAAAUAAUAAUAAAAAAAGAUGUACCAUAGCUCUUAAUUGCUCUUCAAAUCACCCACACCAUUAGAGAAAGCUAUUUCCACCCCAAUCUGAAUUAAAGAAUUCUACAAUCUCCUACAGUCCGAAAGAGAGACUUCAGCUAAAGAGAAAGCUGGUGCUCCUCUUGCUAGCUGAGUGAAUUCUGAUCCUCUUUUUCAUUUUUAUUUUCUUGCUUGAACUCUGCUUUGUUAAAUCAAACACCAGCCCAAAACUGAGCCCAUGGAUCACCAUAUUGGCAGCCUUAUCCUAGAAUCUCAGGGCUGGAAAGAACUCCGAGUACAGCAUUCUCCAGUGUUGGGUGUCAACAGGAGCAGAGUUGGUCUCUUUCGAGAGCUUCCUGGAGAGUCUAUAAAAGCCUGGCUUUUGAACUCUUAUAUUUGGAGGCUGAGAUUCAGAAGGCCUGGGGUGGGGCUUGAGAAUAUAAAUUCUUUAAAAAAAUUUUUUUCUUUUCCUUAGAUAAAUCUUAGAAACCAAAGGGAAUUGAAUUCUUAAGAGGACUUGAAAAUGAUUCUAAUAUAGUCGGGUUAGGGGAAAUCUGGUCUUGAGCUUUUUCUUGGGAGAUGUGGUGAGUCCAAGGCAAGCCAGGCUUCAAUUCUGAAUCUACACUCUUCCCACACAUCUAUGUGGCCUCUGUGCCGAGUCUGAGUUUUAUGUUUUACAAAGAAAACUAGGAGAAAAACUGUUAUUCUUCUGAUUAACAGAAAAGUUGUCCAACUGGCUACACUUGAAUUAUAUCCCCUGAUUAUUAAACUCAGGCUUCUUUAGUUUUCAUUUAUUUUAUUUCAUUGCAUGGAGAUGUUUUAAAAGAGGAAGGCAAGGGGUGUGGGGGAAGGAUUCUGGGAUAGCGACCAUUCUCACCACAUGCAGAAGGCCAAUACUGCUUCCAGAAGGAGACACAAGGAAUCCUUCACUGAGUGAAAGUUUUUUUUCUUCCAGAGAAUAUCAGUAUUCCUACUUUAUAACAAGCCAGGAGCUUUUUCUGCUUCCUGAUUUAAAAAUUGAUUCCUGACUGCAUAGUUCUCACACAAUAGCUUCCUUCUUGCAGGGGCAGUGUGAUUGCCUGGAAUAUAAAUUCUUAGUGGGUUGACCAGGGAUCACGAGCAGUUAUUAUGUUCUCUGCUGCUCUUAACAUGUUGUGAUUCUCAAUAAAUAAUCCAGAGCCAAAGCAUGGUGUUUUGUUUUGCUUUGUCUCAGUGAGUUUUCCAAACUGUAUUUACUAUCUCAAAGUGAGAGCAUCGCAGUUUUCUGAGCCAACUGCAGCAAUUUUCCAGAUCUGGAGAGUAUUUUUGAAGAUUAUUUCUUUGGAGAUUUUCUCUCUUAUUUGGUUUGUUUCCUCUUUGAUAAUUUUUAUUAUUCAUAUGUUGAAUUUUUUGAGCAGAGCUUUAAUUUUCUUAUCUUUUCUCCUCCUUUUUUCCAUUUUUUUCUUUGCCACUUUUCUCCCCCUUCUGGGAUAUUUUCUCAAAUUUUUUCUUCUAAACUUUUAUCUUUUCUGUGAUUAUAAUUUUAAAUUCCAAAAUACCUUUUUUUGGAGAGGGGAGUGGAGGGAAGUGUUCUCUGACUGUUCCUUUUAUAUAGUAGCCUGUUCUUAUUUCAUGGAUGUAAUAUCUUUCCUCUUUCUUUUAUAGUCUGUUUUCCCCAAGUUACUUUUUUCCCUUGUUUGUUUAUUUGUGUCUCUGUAUUUCAUCUCGGAGCAUUCCUUAGGUGUUUGGUGAUUUCCUCCUUCUCCCUCUCUCUGCUCCCUGCAUUGUUAUAAUUAUCUCUGAGCUGACCUCCCAACUUAGGUCUUUCUCAUUUUCUAGUAAACUUGGCAUAAUCCUGUGAAACCCAUCUUUUUUAAGCCCCCAAUUCAACAUGUGAUUCUGUUGGUGAAAAGCCUUCCAUGGCUCCAUAUUUCCCACUUCAUCAGAACUUAACUUUGCCAUUUUUGACAUUUUCAGUCUCUGACCCCACUCAGGCUAGGCACCAUACCUCUUGCCUCAGAAUGUGGAUACUCUUGUGUGUUCAGAGUUGGAGAUUAGGAAAUAAUACUAUUAAAAGUAAUAGCAAUCGAUGAUAAAGCCUUCAUAUGCUUUAUUCACAGACAUUACUGACUUCUCCUGUUAGCUCUGUCGUGCUUACAUCAUGAUGCCCAUUUUUCAGGUAAAGAAAUAGUGGCUCAAACAAG